Molecule: ribosomal RNA, 242 nt
Filed under: uncultured bacterium
Lineage: Bacteria
Description: partial 16S ribosomal RNA
Rfam family: Bacterial small subunit ribosomal RNA
Source: RNAcentral
GACAAACGCUGGCGGGGUGCAUGAGACAUGCAAGUCGCACGGGGUUGGAUCGGGCGUUGCUCGAUCAACCUAGUGGCGAACGGCUGAGUAACGCGUAGGUGACCUACCCGGAAGUGGGGAAUAACUGCCCGAAAGGGUGGCUAAUACCGCAUGUGGUCGGCGAAUCAGAUCGCCGUCCAAAGCCGAAAGGCGCUUCCGGAGGGGCCUGCGUCCGAUUAGCUAGUUGGCGGGGUAACGGCGUC